GAUGAACGCUGGCGGCGUGCCUAACACAUGCAAGUCGAACGGAGAUUACGGACGGAAGUUUUCGGAUGGAAGCCUGUAAUUCUUAGUGGCGGACGGGUGAGUAACGCGUGGGCAACCUGCCCUAUACAGGGGGAUAGCAGCUGGAAACGGCUGGUAAGACCGCAUAAGUCGGUUAAAUCGCAUGAUUUGAUCGGGAAAUGAGCAAUCAGGUAUAGGAUGGGCCCGCGUCCGAUUAGCCAGUUGGCAGGGUAAAAGCCUACCAAAGCGACGAUCGGUAGCCGGACUGAGAGGUCGGACGGCCACAUUGGGACUGAGACACGGCCCAAACUCCUACGGGAGGCAGCAGUGGGGGAUAUUGCACAAUGGAGGAAACUCUGAUGCAGCGACGCCGCGUGAGUGAAGAAGUAUUUCGGUAUGUAAAGCUCUAUCAGCAGGGAAG
RNAcentral lists this ribosomal RNA (439 nucleotides) under Catonella morbi. Its description in RNAcentral is "bacterial SSU rRNA". It matches the Rfam family "Bacterial small subunit ribosomal RNA", at positions 28 to 447 of the family's 1533-position model. The record is from RNAcentral. Lineage: Bacteria; Bacillati; Bacillota; Clostridia; Lachnospirales; Lachnospiraceae.